CCGGGUGGUGAGGCUUCAGUGACUGUGACCUCUGCUCAGGGCCUCCUGUGUGCCAGUCCCUAGGCACACACGUGUGUACCUUGCCUCACAGGUGAGGAAGCCGAGGCCCAGAGAUGAAGUGAUGUGUCCGCCUAGCAAGAAGCGAGGUCAGGGUCCGAACUGAGACCUGUGCCCGUAACCAGUGAUGGCAGGAACACGGUGUGGUGUGGCCCCUGCGGGUCCAUAGCCUCAGUAAAAUCAAACCACCAACCUCAGCGUGGAGGUUUCCAGCCUAGCGCUGGUGCUGACCAGCCCGGAAUGGGCUCCCUUUGUGAGGUGGCCCUGAGAGUUGGCAGCAGGUUCCGUCCUUCUGCCGGGGGAGGGGCGGGCAGAAGCCUGGAGCAGGGACCCAAGUCGAAGAUGGUUCUCGCCAUGCUGGGGGCUCUGUACCCCAGGGCCGCGCCGAGCCGCCUCCUCCUCAGCCUCAUCCUGGUGGCUGCACUCCUCCGCCCCGAGCCGCUAAGGCCUCAGCUAUCUGUUCCUGAGGAAUUUUCAGCCCCCCUGGAACUCUCGGAGCCACUUUCUGGCCUGGUGGACGACUACGGGGUGCGACCCAAGCACCCAUGGCCACGAGGGCCUCGCCCCCUUCUCUCCCGGGCCCAGCAGCGCAAGCGGGACGGGCUGGACAUGGCUGAUGUUUCCUCAGUGAGAUUUCAACUGAAGAAAGGGCCCAGCAACUAAGAAGUUUGGACCUCAAGACCACCCAGCCCUCUCUCCAGGCCACUGUGACCCAAGGACGCCAUGCCGAGCGCCGAGGAGGACUGAGGGAUGCUGCCGAGCAUGGGGAACGUGCUCGGGGCCUGAGACCGGGGCUGGCUACAGGGCUGGGUGCUUGGCAGGGCACACACACAUACCCCACGGAUUCUGCCAGGGCUUUGGUGGAUUCUUCAGACACAAAGACAUGGCAGGCAAACCGGUGGUCAGCAGGGUGCUUGGUGAUGAACCCAAAAUACCUGUGGGAGGACAGCAGUCUGUCUGGGCGGGACGGCGACUCAGAACCCUCAGGCACACGCGUGGACCCACACCCUGAACCACCACCCGCGCCUUGACCUCUUCCCCGUCGUGUUCUUACUUGUUGUUCUUUGGAUGGUAUCCGCAGAAAGAGAUGUUUUUUAACUGGAAAAAGUGGCUACAUUUAUUCCCCUACAGGAGGGAGGAGAGAAGAGAGUGGUCAUCAGCCUGCCAGGGGCACAGGUUGGAGGUCUGGCGGGAGAGCGGGGCCAGGCCGGGGCAGUCACCUUGGCCUCCUGGGAGUCGUCAGCCUUGACACCUAUCUUCACGCCCCGCACGCUGAUCUCUAGGACGCAGCUGGAGGGCGGGUUAAAGUGCACGGGAACCUGGACUGAGCCCAGGAACUUCACCCGGAACUGGUCCACCCAGUCGCUGUUUUUGGUCAGGGCUGGAAAGCAAGCAUGGAGUGAGGAGUGGCAGACCCAGCAGAGGAUGCACCGCCCAGGGCUGCCCCGACUGGGCUGGGCCUCACUUUUCUCGAUUGUGAAAUGGACCUGAAGUCACCACUGCCCGGCCCCCUCCCUGGGUGGUUGAGAUCUGAAGCACAGGUCCGCCCGGCAGCAAACGGGGGCAGGGCAGACGGGGGGCCCAGUGGCACUAGGUGGGGGGAAGGAACACUACCUGCCAUAUGUUCAGGCUCCUUGGUGACCUCGAUGGCAUAGUAGGCAGGAAAGAUGCCCCGGGCACCCGUGCGCAUGUUGUAGGCCUCAUACCAGUAGUCCUCAGCCUGCAACUCCACCAGCAGAGGGUCAUCCACUUCCAGCUCAAGUUCGUCUUCAUGUCGAGGCACAAACCUGUCCCCAACAAGGGCCUGUGAGGAAUCCACCACCCAGGCCCCUCCAGCCAGCCAUCUACUCCCCACCCUGCUCUGGGGUCAGGGGGUUGCGUCGGCAUCGGCAUCGCUGGUUCAAUAAACGUU
Molecule: RNA transcript, 1969 nt
Organism: Mesoplodon densirostris (Blainville's beaked whale)
Lineage: Eukaryota; Metazoa; Chordata; Mammalia; Artiodactyla; Ziphiidae
Gene: FREY1
Gene name: Frey regulator of sperm-oocyte fusion 1
Exons: 5
Source: RefSeq, a predicted model, not a curated record